RNAcentral lists this unclassified non-coding RNA (133 nucleotides) under uncultured fungus. RNAcentral's name for it is "sequence contains ITS1, 5.8S rRNA gene". Lineage: Eukaryota; Fungi. The record is from RNAcentral.
AUGAAAUGAAAGGAUGCUCUUUUUAGAGAUCCGAUCCAUUUUAUCCUUUACACUGUGAACCCACUGCUUUUUACACUACUUUAAACACGAGUCUAAGAAUGUAAUCAAGUCUCUUAAGUGAGCAUAAAAAAUA